Molecule: RNA transcript, 1261 nt
Organism: Polypterus senegalus (gray bichir)
Lineage: Eukaryota; Metazoa; Chordata; Cladistia; Polypteriformes; Polypteridae
Gene name: probable E3 ubiquitin-protein ligase TRIML1
Exons: 3
Source: RefSeq, a predicted model, not a curated record
UAAUUUUGUGUUAAAUGAUGUGCCAUAUGCACAUUAAAAGAAAAGAUCCAUAAGUGGAAAUGAAAUAUGAAUAAGAGUUGGAACUUUGAAAUACAGGAAUUCACAUCACCACACACACGCGUGAACAAAUCUACAAUGUCAGGUACAGUUGGCUAGCAGUGCAACUUCGAGACAAGGCCAUCGUGAAAAUAGAAAAAUAGAAAAUUCAGUUGUGACUCAGUCUAGGAGUGGACCUCCAUAUAUAUCUGUGUCACAUGAUUCAAAGAAAUGAAAAGUAAACGUGUAGAUUAAAAGACGUAGGAGACAAACACUGGAGGAGAACGACACUGAGUGGACAUUAAUGGAGGUGAGAUACUGGAUAAUUGAUGAUGGAGAACGAGAGGGCUGAUGGACACGCUGAUGACAUGGCUGUGAAGGUGUGUUUGGUCCCAGGCUCCAGCUACAGGAGCACAUCAUCUGUGGUGUAAAUGCAGGCUCUCAUGAUGCUCCCCUUAGCAUGAAGGAGUCCCACUUGAUGGAUUCUUCUGUGUUUUCCUCACCUGAACCUCAUUCCUGUCUCACAGACUCACACGUCUUCCUCUCAUUUUGCAGGUUUCUCCCAGCGGUCUCUGGCUGGUUGGUGGCUUUCAUCGUCUUGUUGGUUCUUUGCUUAGUGGUGACUCCCUGCUGGUCAUUCAAUGGAGAAGAAUGAGAGAAACAAACACCAGAUAUGAUUCAAUAGUUAGCGGCUGUAGGAGUCCACAUUGGAAAUCCACUGACAAUGGAAGGACAUGCAGACUGUCCACUGGAGACAUCAUACCAGGAGCUGACCUGGAGUUUGAGUGCUGUGGGCUGACAAACCUAACGUCACGUGUGCGCUGAGUGCCAAAUGGCUCCUCCAUUACACAUUUAGUCCUCUCUCUAGUCGUGAGUCAGCACAGGGCUGUAGAUAUGAGACACUCUGAUCAAGGACUGGUCUGAUGAGCUCGACUUGUGCUGAUUUACCUCUUUCUACUUGGCCACUGCUCAUCUGUCUCCUGGGAUGGUGAGGUGGCUUCUCAGGGGUCUUCAGAGUCCAUGAAUAUCUGAGCAGUUCAAUUAGUGAAGGCCUUGGUGUGACUGAAUAAACGUGAACUGGUCAGGAAAUUCAAAAUGGGAGAUCAGGCCGGCCAGCCUGAAUGUGAAGAGGAGACGAUUUGAAAAUGGUCAGCAUUGAGCCAAUGUGGCCCACCACGUUCAGUGAAGUCUUCUGUGUCUCCUUUGUGUUGGUACUUCAUGUGUG